This 404-nucleotide ribosomal RNA is filed under the name Fusobacteriota bacterium. RNAcentral's name for it is "Fusobacteria bacterium partial 16S ribosomal RNA". It matches the Rfam family "Bacterial small subunit ribosomal RNA", at positions 355 to 776 of the family's 1533-position model. The record is from RNAcentral. Lineage: Bacteria; Fusobacteriati; Fusobacteriota.
UGGGGAAUAUUGCACAAUGGAGGGAACUCUGAUGCAGCGACGCCGCGCGAGUGAUGAAGGAAUUCGUUUCGUAAAACUCUGUUCUAUGGGAAGAAAAGGACUGUACCAUAGGAGAAAGCUCCGGCUAAAUACGUGCCAGCAGCCGCGGUAAUACGUAUGGAGCGAGCGUUGUCCGGAAUUAUUGGGCGUAAAGGGUGCGCAGGCGGCUUUACAAGUUGGAUGGGAAAUAUUGUGGCUCAACCACAAACGUGCAUCCAAAACUGCAAAGCUUGAGUUAAGGAGAGGUAAGUGGAAUUCCUGGUGUAGCGGUGGAAUGCGUAGAUAUCAGGAGGAAUACCGGUGGCGAAGGCGACUUACUGGACUUAAACUGACGCUCAGGCACGAAAGCGUGGGGAGCAAACAGG